Otolemur garnettii (small-eared galago) is the source of this 153-nucleotide small nucleolar RNA. The record is from Ensembl. Lineage: Eukaryota; Metazoa; Chordata; Mammalia; Primates; Galagidae.
AGGACACAGACUUCCAGCCUGUGGUCUGAGAAGGCUGUAAGACUGGCUAAGAGAUAUUGAAGUGCAGGCGCCUAAAGAAUUAUCUUUCUAUGGUCUGUUGGCUAUUUCAGAACUUUGGAAAUGUAAUGGUCAAUUCAUUAGAAAGAAACAGUA